Molecule: ribosomal RNA, 545 nt
Filed under: uncultured archaeon
Lineage: Archaea
Description: bacterial SSU rRNA
Rfam family: Archaeal small subunit ribosomal RNA
Source: RNAcentral
GUGCAGCAGGCGCGAAAACUUUGCAAUGCGGGAAACCGUGACAAGGGAACUCUGAGUGCCCGUUAAAUCGGGCUGUCCAUCGGUUUAAAUAACCGGUGAAGAAAGGGCCGGGCAAGACCGGUGCCAGCCGCCGCGGUAAUACCGGCGGCUCGAGUGGUGGCCACUAUUACUGGGCUUAAAGCGUUCGUAGCUGGUUUGUUAAGUCUCUGGGGAAAUCUUCCGGCUUAACCGGAAGGCGUCUCAGGGAUACUGGCAGACUAGGGACCGGGAGAGGUGAGAGGUACUCCAGGGGUAGGAGUGAAAUCCUGUAAUCCUUGGGGGACCACCUGUGGCGAAGGCGUCUCACCAGAACGGCUCCGACAGUGAGGGACGAAAGCUGGGGGAGCAAACCGGAUUAGAUACCCGGGUAGUCCCAGCUGUAAACGAUGCGCGUUAGGUGUAUCGGUGACCACGAGUCACCGAGGUGCCGAAGAGAAAUCGUGAAACGUGCCGCCUGGGAAGUACGGUCGCAAGGCUGAAACUUAAAGGAAUUGGCGGGGGAGCAC